GAUGAACGCUGGCGGCGUGCCUAAUACAUGCCAGUCGAGCGAACAGACGAGGAGCUUGCUCCUCUGACGUUAGCGGCGGACGGGUGAGCAACACGUGGAUAACCUACCUAUAAGACUGGGAUAACUUCGGGAAACCGGAGCUAAUACCGGAUAAUAUAUUGAACCGCAUGGUUCAAUAGUGAAAGACGGUUUUGCUGUCACUUAUAGAUGGAUCCGCGCCGCAUUAGCUAGUUGGUAAGGUAACGGCUUACCAAGGCAACGAUGCGUAGCCGACCUGAGAGGGUGAUCGGCCACACUGGAACUGAGACACGUUCCAGACUCCUACGGGAGGCAGCAGUAGGGAAUCUUCCGCAAUGGGCGAAAGCCUGACGGAGCAACGCCGCGUGAGUGAUGAAGGUCUUCGGAUCGUAAAACUCUGUUAUUAGGGAAGAACAAAUGUGUAAGUAACUAUGCACGUCUUGACGGUACCUAAUCAGAAAGCCACGGCUAACUACGUG
This 497-nucleotide ribosomal RNA is filed under the name uncultured bacterium. RNAcentral describes it as "partial 16S ribosomal RNA". It matches the Rfam family "Bacterial small subunit ribosomal RNA", at positions 28 to 507 of the family's 1533-position model. The record is from RNAcentral.